GAUGAACGCUGGCGGCGUGCCUAAUACAUGCCAGUCGAGCGAACAGAUGAGGAGCUUGCUCCUCUGACGUUAGCGGCGGACGGGUGAGUAACACGUGGAUAACCUACCUAUAAGACUGGGAUAACUUCGGGAAACCGGAGCUAAUACCGGAUAAUAUAUUGAACCGCAUGGUUCAAUAGUGAAAGACGGUUUUGCUGUCACUUAUAGAUGGAUCCGCGCCGCAUUAGCUAGUUGGUAAGGUAACGGCUUACCAAGGCAACGAUGCGUAGCCGACCUGAGAGGGGGAUAGGCCACACUGGAACUGAGACACGGUCCAGACCCCUAAGGGAGGCAGCAGUAGGGAAUCUGCCGCAAUGGGCGAAAGCCUGACGGAGCAACGCCGCGUGAGUGAUGAAGGUCUUCGGAUCGUAAAACUCUGUUAUUGGGGAAGAACAAAUGUGGAAGUAACUAUGCACGUAUUGACGGUACCUAAUAAGAAAGCCACGGCUAACUACGUG
RNAcentral lists this ribosomal RNA (497 nucleotides) under uncultured bacterium. Its description in RNAcentral is "partial 16S ribosomal RNA". It matches the Rfam family "Bacterial small subunit ribosomal RNA", at positions 28 to 507 of the family's 1533-position model. The record is from RNAcentral.